UACGUAGGUGGCGAGCGUUGUCCGGAUUUACUGGGCGUAAAGGGAGCGUAGGCGGACUUUUAAGUGAGAUGUGAAAUACCCGGGCUCAACUUGGGUGCUGCAUUUCAAACUGGAAGUCUAGAGUGCAGGAGAGGAGAAUGGAAUUCCUAGUGUAGCGGUGAAAUGCGUAGAGAUUAGGGAGAACACCAGUGGCGAAGGCGAUUCUCUGGACUGUAACUGACGCUGAGGCUCGAAAGCGUGGGGAGCAAACAGGAUUAGAUACCCCGGUAGU
This 271-nucleotide ribosomal RNA is filed under the name uncultured prokaryote. Its description in RNAcentral is "partial 16S ribosomal RNA". It matches the Rfam family "Bacterial small subunit ribosomal RNA", at positions 524 to 794 of the family's 1533-position model. The record is from RNAcentral.